GCCCCGCAAGGGGAGUGGCAGACGGGUGAGUAACGCGUGGGAACAUACCCUUUCCUGCGGAAUAGCUCCGGGAAACUGGAAUUAAUACCGCAUACGCCCUACGGGGGAAAGAUUUAUCGGGGAAGGAUUGGCCCGCGUUGGAUUAGCUAGUUGGUGGGGUAAAGGCCUACCAAGGCGACGAUCCAUAGCUGGUCUGAGAGGAUGAUCAGCCACAUUGGGACUGAGACACGGCCCAAACUCCUACGGGAGGCAGCAGUGGGGAAUAUUGGACAAUGGGCGCAAGCCUGAUCCAGCCAUGCCGCGUGAGUGAUGAAGGCCUUAGGGUUGUAAAGCUCUUUCACCGGAGAAGAUAAUGACGGUAUCCGGAGAAGAAGCCCCGGCUAACUUCGUGCCAGCAGCCGCGGUAAUACGAAGGGGGCUAGCGUUGUUCGGAAUUACUGGGCGUAAAGCGCACGUAGGCGGAUAUUUAAGUCAGGGGUGAAAUCCCAGAGCUCAACUCUGGAACUGCCUUUGAUACUGGGUAUCUUGAGUAUGGAAGAGGUAAGUGGAAUUCCGAGUGUAGAGGUGAAAUUCGUAGAUAUUCGGAGGAACACCAGUGGC
Molecule: ribosomal RNA, 600 nt
Filed under: Agrobacterium tumefaciens
Lineage: Bacteria; Pseudomonadati; Pseudomonadota; Alphaproteobacteria; Hyphomicrobiales; Rhizobiaceae
Description: bacterial SSU rRNA
Rfam family: Bacterial small subunit ribosomal RNA
Source: RNAcentral